RNAcentral lists this ribosomal RNA (526 nucleotides) under Eurotiomycetes sp. genotype 108. RNAcentral describes it as "eukaryotic LSU rRNA". The stretch from base 216 to 369 matches the Rfam family "5.8S ribosomal RNA". Lineage: Eukaryota; Fungi; Ascomycota; Eurotiomycetes. The record is from RNAcentral.
UCCGUAGGUGAACCUGCGGAAGGAUCAUUACCGAGUGAGGGCCCUCUGGGUCCAACCUCCCACCCGUGUCUAUCGUACCUUGUUGCUUCGGCGGGCCCGCCGUUUCGACGGCCGCCGGGGAGGCCUUGCGCCCCCGGGCCCGCGCCCGCCGAAGACCCCAACAUGAACGCUGUUCUGAAAGUAUGCAGUCUGAGUUGAUUAUCGUAAUCAGUUAAAACUUUCAACAACGGAUCUCUUGGUUCCGGCAUCGAUGAAGAACGCAGCGAAAUGCGAUAAGUAAUGUGAAUUGCAGAAUUCAGUGAAUCAUCGAGUCUUUGAACGCACAUUGCGCCCCCUGGUAUUCCGGGGGGCAUGCCUGUCCGAGCGUCAUUGCUGCCCUCAAGCACGGCUUGUGUGUUGGGCCCCCGUCCCCCUCUCCCGGGGGACGGGCCCGAAAGGCAGCGGCGGCACCGCGUCCGGUCCUCGAGCGUAUGGGGCUUUGUCACCUGCUCUGUAGGCCCGGCCGGCGCCAGCCGACACCCAACUU